This 23-nucleotide small RNA is filed under the name Arabidopsis thaliana (thale cress). RNAcentral describes it as "ATSL250880". The record is from RNAcentral. Lineage: Eukaryota; Viridiplantae; Streptophyta; Magnoliopsida; Brassicales; Brassicaceae.
GAAGCUAGCUCUGAAUGUCAAAA